This 1154-nucleotide long non-coding RNA is filed under the name Limulus polyphemus (Atlantic horseshoe crab). RNAcentral's name for it is "uncharacterized LOC111085311, transcript variant X1". Lineage: Eukaryota; Metazoa; Arthropoda; Merostomata; Xiphosura; Limulidae. The record is from RNAcentral.
ACGGAAAAGGGUGAAAAAUACCAGAAGCUAGUACUGAUACAUUACUUACUGAACAAGAGGAAGGGCUUUGGGAUGAUAGAGGUACCAGUCGGAAACACAGUAAAUACAGUAUUAUGAAGUUUUCCGACGGAUGCGGAGCCAGGAUGUUAUUUGGAGUGGAAUAUGAUAAAUCCUGCUGAGGCCAAGUGAUGUAGUUACUUUACAUCGGGAUGAGGACUCUACUACACUAUGCCUGCCUUCACUCUGGUUUUUUACAAGUUUUACAGUUUGUUGAAAUAGCAAAAGCUACCGCGUGGUAUACGUUUUACUGCAGCGAAGAAUAAUCUGUGAACUCCUGGUUUUAGAGAGAAGUGCAAGAUAAUAUUUUAUGCUAAGUCUGUGACAGAUAUAUGGCAGAGAACCAACUGCUGGCUCUAUCAUGGAACUUUUUCUUCAGCCAACACACAGACGCCAAAGGAAGUUUCGUAAGAGUCUUGAGGUGUAACAGAGCAGAGGAAGUCGCCUUCUUUCCUGUCUAUACAGGUGUUAUGUGCAUCCGACUAACAACUGAUGCAAUGGCAACGUUAUGGAGUUUAGGAAGUGAACACUGACGUGAUUUCGUUUUUCAGUAGAGUACGUGUUUGGAGCCAGAAAUCCCUACUGUAUCAUUAAGCAGUCACAGGAAGUAUGACGGCUGAAUAGACGUACAUGUACUGACAUCUCAGGAAGGGGUAUUCCAAUUUAGUAAUUUAGCAAGAGUUUGAAGAAAGUAGGACAGUUUUAUUUGUUAUUGAGUUUCUCAAGUAAGUUGAAUCCAAAGUUACAAAAGGAAAGCCUGCUAGUGCGCCAUAGUGAUAUGUAGUUUUUGAAGACGGUGUUACUGUUUCAGCUUGUUUUGUCUAUUUGCUCACGUCAUAUAUCAGCUGUUGUCUGACGAGUAGAAUCUGAUUUUACACAGCAGGUUUAAAAUAGCUAGUUAUCCUACAUGUGUUCGUGAAUCCAGUGACCGGAUGAGACGUGUUUCUUGUUUUUUUUCCAUCUGAACAGUUCCGUGAAAUGCUUUAAUGUCGUUAUCAAGCUUGUUUUGAAAAACUUUUCCAAUGCUUAUUAAUUUAAGUUGGCUUCAGUUGUCAUCCACGAACACUCAAAGCUUUCACACUACUUCAAAUCUUAAA